UUCUAAAGGAAAGAUCUGAGUACAUACUCAAAUCACUGAUUAAUAAGCUAUGUGGACAAAAAUGUAACAAGUAGUUGGCAAACAGGGUAAUAGGGAGAAACUCAGCACAGGUUGCACAAGUUGUAGCAAAGUUAAUCUCAAUUU
Long non-coding RNA from Oxyura jamaicensis (ruddy duck), 144 nucleotides. RefSeq lists it as uncharacterized. The record is from RefSeq and is a predicted model, not a curated record. The transcript has 3 exons. NCBI's taxonomy places the organism in Eukaryota, Metazoa, Chordata, Aves, Anseriformes, Anatidae.